GCAGGGUCAUAAAACCUCUCUGACAUUCACUAGCCUUUGAAACUGUUUGUAGAAGUGCUAGGAAUCUCAAGCCCUCGCCAGCAAUAACUACAGAUUCUUUACUAGCAGGUUUCUUCAACUUUGUCUGCAUCAUGGUUAAGAUAUCUGUAACAAGCUCUCCACAAAAGAAUAUGAGGAAAGUAAUGUCUUCCUUGUCGGUGCUCCUCUGUAAUGUGGUUUUCAGAACUUGCAAUCCAAUUGCUUGAACCUGUAGAUUUGAGUCGCUCAGUACAGUUUGGAAAUAUUUACUGCAGUACUUGAACACAGUAAAACAGAAAGGGCUUCUGCUUUUGGUUUCUCCGAGACAUUUCAUUUGACAAGCUACCUUCGCCAAUGAAAUUGUUUGUUCAAGCAAGAAAGAAAGCUUUAAUUGCAAUAGCUUGCGUGACUCAGAUCUUUUAUUCUCCACAAAAUGUAUGCCCUUGAUGCAAUCCUUGGUCAAAUCAGCAAUCAAAUUCAGGCAAGUUCCAA
This 510-nucleotide unclassified non-coding RNA is filed under the name Hevea brasiliensis (rubber tree). Lineage: Eukaryota; Viridiplantae; Streptophyta; Magnoliopsida; Malpighiales; Euphorbiaceae. The record is from RNAcentral.